Molecule: ribosomal RNA, 433 nt
Filed under: uncultured bacterium
Lineage: Bacteria
Description: partial 16S ribosomal RNA
Rfam family: Bacterial small subunit ribosomal RNA
Source: RNAcentral
AACGAACGCUGGCGGCAUGCCUAACACAUGCAAGUCGAACGAGACCUUCGGGUCUAGUUGCGCUCGGGUGCGUCACGCGUGGGAACCUGCCCUUAGGUUCGGAAUACCUCCCCGACAGGGGUGCUAAUACCGGAUAAUGUCUUCGGACCAAAGAUUUAUCGCCUUUGGAUGGGCCCGCGUUGGAUUCGCGAGUUGGUAGGGGAAGAGCCUACCAAGGCGACGAUCCAUAGCUGGUCUGAGAGGAUGAGCAGCCACACUUAGGCUAAGACACGGCCCAGAAUCCUACGGAAUGGAGGAGUGGGGAAUAUUGGACAAGGGGGGAAGGGCUGAACCAGCUAGGCCGGGUAAGUGAUGAAGGCGGGAGGGAAGUAAAGCAGUUUUACCCGGGAUGAUAAUGACAGUACCGGGAGAAUAAGCACCGGCUAACUCCGUG